CAAUAGCGUAUAUUUAAGUUGUUGCAGUUAAAAAGCUCGUAGUUGGAUUUCGGGUGGGACGCAGCGGUCUCGCAUUGCGUUUGUACUGCUGCAGCCCUCCUUCUUGCCGGGGGCGGCCUCUCGGACUUCACUGUCUGGGGGUCAGAAUCGGCGAUGUUACUUUGAGUAAAUUAGAGUGUUCAAAGCAAGCUUACGCUCUGAAUAUAAUAGCAUGGGAUAACACGACAGGACUCUGGCCUAUCGUGUUGGUCUAUAGGACCAGAGUAAUGAUUAAGAGGGACAGUCGGGGGCAUUCGUAUUCCGUUGUCAGAGGUGAAAUUCUUGGAUUUACGGAAGACGAACAUCUGCGAAAGCAUUUGCCAAGGAUGUUUNCAUUGG
RNAcentral lists this ribosomal RNA (378 nucleotides) under uncultured eukaryote. Its description in RNAcentral is "partial 18S ribosomal RNA". It matches the Rfam family "Eukaryotic small subunit ribosomal RNA", at positions 592 to 976 of the family's 1831-position model. The record is from RNAcentral.